RNAcentral lists this ribosomal RNA (253 nucleotides) under uncultured bacterium. Its description in RNAcentral is "partial 16S ribosomal RNA". It matches the Rfam family "Bacterial small subunit ribosomal RNA", at positions 524 to 776 of the family's 1533-position model. The record is from RNAcentral.
UACGGAGGGUGCAAGCGUUAUCCGGAUUCACUGGGUUUAAAGGGUGCGUAGGAGGGCAGGUAAGUCAGUGGUGAAAUCUUCGAGCUUAACUCGGAAACUGCCGUUGAUACUAUCUGUCUUGAAUACCGUAGAGAUGAGCGGAAUAUGUCAUGUAGCGGUGAAAUGCUUAGAUAUGACAUAGAACACCAAUUGCGAAGGCAGCUCGUUACACGAAUAUUGACUCUGAGGCACGAAAGCGUGGGGAGCAAACAGG